UUCCGGUUGAUCCUGCCGGACCCGACUGCUAUCGGAUUGAGAUUUAGCUAUGCGAGUCGAACGCCUUCCUGUUGCGGGAGGCGUGGCGUACGGCUCAGUAACACGUAGUCAACCUGCCCUAGAGACAUGAAUAACCCCGGGAAACUGGGAUUAAUACAUGAUAGAUCAUCUCAUCUGGAAGGAGAGAUGGUUUAAAGGGGUGCGCGAGCUUCUUUUGUGCAUCCGCUCUAGGAUGGGACUGCGGCCGAUCAGGCUGUUGGUGGGGUAAUGGCCCACCAAACCUGUAACCGGUACGGGCCUUGAGAGAGGGGGCCCGGAGAUGGACACUGAGAGAAGGGUCCAGGUCCUACGGGGCGCAGCAGGCGCGAAACCUUCGCAAUGCGCGAAAGCGUGACGAGGUUAACCCGAGUGGUUCCCGCUGAGGGGAUCUUUUGUUGGCUCUAAAAUGGCCAGUGAAUAAGGGGAGGGCAAGUCUGGUGUCAGCCGGCGCGGUAAUACCAGCUCCUCGAGUGGUCGGGGCGAUUAUUGGGCCUAAAGCAUCCGUAGCCUGUUCCGUAGGUCUUCUGUUAAAUCCAACGGCUUAACCGUUGGCCUGCAGAAGAUACCGCGGGACUAGGAGGCGGGAGAGGUGGACGGUACUCCACGUGUAGGGGUAAAAUCCUUUGAUCCGUGGAAGACCACCAGUGGCGAAGGCGGUCCACCAGAACGCGCUCGACGGUGAGGGAUGAAAGCUGGGGGAGCGAACCGGAUUAGAUACCCGGGUAGUCCCAGCCGUAAACGAUGCGAGCUAGAUGAUCCAAUCGCAAAUCGCGAUUGGAGUGUCGCAGGGAAGCCGUUAAGCUCGCCGCCUGGGGAGUACGGUCGCAAGACUGAAACUUAAAGGAAUUGGCGGG
RNAcentral lists this ribosomal RNA (893 nucleotides) under uncultured crenarchaeote. RNAcentral describes it as "bacterial SSU rRNA". It matches the Rfam family "Archaeal small subunit ribosomal RNA", at positions 1 to 872 of the family's 1478-position model. Lineage: Archaea; Thermoproteati; Thermoproteota. The record is from RNAcentral.